GAUCAGAAGAGGACUCUCCUGACCAGCCUGGGAAAAGUCUGAGCAGAGUCUGCAGGGGCAAAUACAACUUACUCAGACAAAAAAGGCUGUCAGCAGCAAGUCUAGGCAGAAGCCAGGAGGAGUUAGGAACAGACUAUAAGAAAUGGUUGGUCUGGAGGAAAAAGGGUAAAACUUAUGAGGGCCCUUGUGAAUUGAUGAAUAUGAAGACACUAAGAAAGCAGAAAUAGAACUGAGAAGAAUGAAAUAACUGUCUCUACCUUUCUCGAAUUGUCUAAUAUGGAAAGAAUGAAAGACAGCUAAUAAGCAACUCUCUGCAAGAAGACAUAUGGCUUAGAAUCUACUUGGAGAGAGUCAAACACAGAAUCCCUUUGAAUUUAAUGGCCAUUCCAGGUGAUUUGAACAGCCAAAUAAGAAACAGGUCCUCUUCAAUGUACAAUCUGCCAAGUAUGAAGUCUGAAUGACCAUCAUUAUUAUGUAUUUAAUGUGCAUAGAAAAUCUAUCUGCAACCUUCCAGAGUGUACCAGAAGUUUGGAAUGUACAUUAUUAUUGGCUCCAUCUCAAACCACUCAUAAAUCAAAGAAAAUAGCAGUUCCAGAGGAAUCAUCAUAGAGGCUUCUAGGCCCCCAUGCUGUGUGAACCUGGUGAGAAAGGGAAGUCUGCUCUCACUGGACACUGGAACUGUUUGUCUCUGUCUCUGCUGUACUUUCCCUGCCUCUACCUCACUUAGUAAAGAAAUCAUCUUUGCUUGAUAACUAAAACAACCAAUAAGGCUGAGAAAGGGGAAAACCCACAUCUGGAUUUAAAUACAAGGUAUUGGGCCAGCUGCUGGGGAUUAAACUUUGAACAAAACAGAUAGAAUCUAUGUCCUCAUGGGAGUGGCUAAUGGGAGAGUCGGAACAAAAAAAUAGCCAAGGAUAAUCCAGCAAAUGAUUUGGUGAAUGCUAUCAAAGAGAGAAAUACACAUGCUCUGGGAACACCAAACAGAGUCUCCCUCUCUGACCCAGGCUGGAGUGCCGUGGUAUGAUCUCGGCUCACUGCAACUUCUGCCUCCCAGCUUCAAGCAAUUCUCCUGUCUUAGCUUCCCAAGUAGCUGGGAUUACAGGCGUGCACCACCACACCAGGCUAAUUUUGUAUUUUUAGUAGAGACGGGGUUUUGCCAUGUUGGCCAGGCUGGUCUCGAACCCCUGACCUCAGGUGAUCUGCCCACCUCAACCUCCCAAAGUGCUGGGAUUACAGGUGUGAGCCACUGCAUCUGGCCUCAUAUAUUUUACUAUAACAAAUCAGUGUAGGCCAAAUAAAGUUAGAAAUGGAAGCUAAUGGAAAUAAAGAAUAGGCUUUCCUGUUAGUAUCUAUAGGUGUGUGUGUGUGUGUUCGUUAUUUAGGGAAAGAAACAGGGAACUUGGGGCAUAUAAUAUUUAUGUUCCCUUAGCUUAGGCAUAUAUGGUAUAUUUAGUUACUUAAUUAAUUUUUUAUUUAGAAGUUAUGUAUAGAGCAUUUUUCCUAGGCCAGUGGGGGAUUAAACCAGAAAUAUAAGAAGUGUCUGCCUUCUGGAAGCUUGUGAUCUAGUUAGGGGUAUCACAAGUGCACAGCGUUCACCAGUGGCAGAGAAGCAUGUGAUGAGUACCCAGAGCUUAUAUUGAGAAUAAGGUAUACAAGAAUUUAGAGGAGGCCAAUGUUGAUUUUCACCAAGAGUAUGGGACAGAGAGACAAGACAGGGUUGGUCAUCUAGUUCUGUGCACUGAAUAUAAUUUUGCAGGUUUAGGAGUGUUUGAAAACUACAAGGAAGAUAGAAUCUUGGUCUUGUUCUCCAGCAUGCCCUUUCUUGAACUCACCAGGGUAAUGCUGCAUCUUUUCAGAAAUGCCUCUGGCUUCUCAAAGCAACUUUCAUCCUGGAGAGGAACAAUUAGUCUUUGUCUUUCAUUAGUAAAAGAUUUAACGGCUCAGAAGGAGAAGCUAGUGGUGACUUUUCAAUCACCCCUUCUACCUCCCAG
Molecule: long non-coding RNA, 1991 nt
Filed under: Homo sapiens (human)
Lineage: Eukaryota; Metazoa; Chordata; Mammalia; Primates; Hominidae
Description: HSALNT0111942
Source: RNAcentral